GCGCCCGUAGCUCAAUGGAUAGAGCAUUUGGCUUCGGACCAAAGGGUUGGGGGUUCGACUCCCUCUGGGCGCG
RNAcentral lists this transfer RNA (73 nucleotides) under compost metagenome. RNAcentral describes it as "tRNA-Arg". It matches the Rfam family "tRNA". Rfam says of the family: Transfer RNA (tRNA) molecules are approximately 80 nucleotides in length. Their secondary structure includes four short double-helical elements and three loops (D, anti-codon, and T loops). The record is from RNAcentral.